Nilaparvata lugens (brown planthopper) is the source of this 3280-nucleotide long non-coding RNA. RefSeq lists it as uncharacterized. NCBI's taxonomy places the organism in Eukaryota, Metazoa, Arthropoda, Insecta, Hemiptera, Delphacidae. The record is from RefSeq and is a predicted model, not a curated record. The transcript is spliced from 5 exons.
AAGAAAUUCAAGAUGUCGGCUUCGGCACUUCGGCAGUGUUUAUCAACCUUAUUUCAACUUGCUUUUGGUUCGGAUUUUAUUAGUUUAUUAAUGUUCAAAAGAAUUACAAUAUGUUUCCAGUUACAUUGAAAGCAUUUUGUGAAAGUUUUACUGCAUUAUUUCAAUGAUUCCUUCAGAAGUGUUGUGCUUAGAAGGGUUUCGGCGAUGUUUUGGGAUGAACCGAAUUGUUGGAGGUGAAGAGAUACAUGACAACAUUUCUCAGUGCAAUGCAUCGAUGCUGAUAUGAGCUGGAGGACAUCCUCAUGUGACUUGAGUCAUCGACCAGAGCCUUCAAGUGUGGCUGUUGACAGCUGAUUGGUGGAGGUGGAUGCAUGGAUGCUGAUGUGAGCUGGGCGGGCGGACAUCCUCAUGUCAUGUCCCGAAGAUUUCAAGUAGGACUUGACAGCUGGUGAUGGAGAUGAAUUUGAAGGCGAUAAGAGUGGACAGCAUAGGCAGAGUUUUGGACAGUGGACAAAACGGACUUCGCAGCCACAGAACAACAUGAGUCACUUCACUUCUGCUUCUGCUACAACGUCAUCUUCUUCUUCUGCUACUACUGAUACUACUUCUACUGAUUCUACUGCUACUGUUACUGCUUCUGCUGAUACUGCUACUGCUGCUACUACUGUUGCUGCUGCUUCUUCUGUGCUGAGAAAUCCACACUUUUGGACGUUUGUAGCUGAUUGCUGAUCAUUGCAGUAAUAAGGUGUUACAUCUGUGAGUUCACUUAGAUUAUGAUGAUUCUCUUUUACUUCUUCUUCUUCUUCUACUUCUUCCUACUAACACAUUUUGUAUUGAUAUAGGGUGAUUGUUCAUUGCAUUGUUAUAGCCAAUAUUAGUUUCAUUUAGUAGACUAUAAUAAUAUGAAAUCUGUUACAUGACAUUCAAAAAUUUGGAGGAUUCAGAGCAAGAAUUUUUUUCUCUUAUUCAUGAAAUGGAGGUGCAAUAUACAAGCAUAGAAAUUUAGUAAUAGAAAAAAGUCGGUGGAGUUAUGCAGCUUGAGGUACGUUUAGACGUGUAUACAAUUGUAGAUUAAUUUGUAUGAGAUUCAAGGGUGAUUAUAUAAAGAUUGGAAUCGAAUAUAUUGCAGCUCAUAAAAAAUGAUUGAAUAAGGAGAUUGAUCAUACUUGUAAUUUUGACAUGUAUCUCAUGCAAAUGUAUUUUAUAUUUGUAUACAAUUCUUGACGUACCUUGGAAUGUAUAAUUGGAGAAGUGGAGCUGUGCUUGUAUACUAAGGUAGGUGAUCACCUCAUCGUGGAACACAUGCCGCCGAUUAUGCAGAUCUCCGAAUCACCGCCACCUGUCUAUUUAUUAACCAUAUUACAACGAAACAGUCUGCAACUAUUGGACCAGAGAUCUAUAGACAUUAGACAAAGUUUUAUGCAGAACAAUAUUUUCAAGUAGUUGAGACCUUUACACGAAUGUACAAAUUUACAAAAUGAUUAUAGUGAGUUCCUCGUUAUAAUGGCAGUAUUUGAUUAGCAUUGGUGUUGCUAUCCUUGUCUAUCAUUCGACAAAGCAGAUAGCGCCAUCCUUUUCUAGCUCUGCAACGUUGCCAGAUCGUUUUUAACAAUGUAUAAAUAUAAUUAAUUUACAAAAUAUUUAUUUUUAAUUAUAAAAAAUUAAUAAUUUGAUCAUUGAAAAACAUAUUGACAAAUGAAAUAUAAAUUAUAGAUUAUUGUAAUCAAGAUAUAUAACAUCAGAUAUACUAGUAUCAGCUAUUCUUUUUAGAAGGCAGAGAAUUGGCAACGCUGUUCCUCCUAUCUUUCUUCACUGCCAUAAUAGCGUGGACCUCACUAUUGUAAAAUAGACAAGUAGCCCACCUCUCUACAAAAACAAGAUUUAGUCGAGUAUCCAGGCUGUUACAAGUUGCAAAUUUAUUCUUUCAAUAUUAUUUUAAUACAUUUCAAAUCUUGUAUUUGUUGGCUGAAUUGACGUUUGAUUAGUAGAAUUUUAGAUAAAUUUCUUGGUGAUGAAGUAAAAUGUUUUGAUCGUUUGCUGAAAACGUAGUCUCAGAAGCAGAAAUGUUUUGGUAUUUGCUAAAACCGUAAAUUCAGAAACAUGAGUUCAAUUAUUGCUUCAAUUGAAUAUUUUUGAAACUUGUCAAUUACCUGGUUACAGUAUUUUUGAAUGAUUUUAGUGCCUUUAGCUGUGGAGGUGUUGAACUAUUUCGAUAAUUUGUUACAUUCGUGGAAUGGUUUAUUCAAGUAUGGUUCUGUUGAGGAAGCAGUACCUCUCAGGCUACAGUAAUGUGUUUCAAAUUGAUUCAAAUACAGUAAAAGUGUUACAAUUUCCAGUCAAGUGUUUGUUGUAGCAUUUUUGCUGUAAAUUCCUUUAUCCUUGAAUCGGUUGGUGUGAGAGAAUAAUAAAAUAUUUCUGAUUUGGUUGUUUUGCAAUCAUUUUUCCUUCAUCAUGAAUCAGUUUGAAACACAUCACUGCUUAUUCGAAAAUUAUGUAAAAUUAAGUGUUUUAUUCAGCGCUUUGAGUUGUCACAAACUGGUAUUGUAGUUUGUAUGGAGUAGUUUCAAUACAAAAAUGAUUAAUUGUUGAAUGAUUAAUGAGAGAUUACUCUCAGUCAACAGUAAUGCUUAUCAAAUUAAUUCCAAUACAGUAAAAGUGUUGCAAUCAUUUACAUUCUAAUAAUACUGUAGAGUGAAUAUUGUAGCAUUUUUACUGUAAAUUCCUUUAUCCUUGAAUCGGUUGGUGUGAGACAAUAAUAAAUGAUUUCUGGCUCUGGUUGUUUUUCAAUCAUUUUUCCUUAAUUAUGAAUCUGUUUUUUAAAAUGAUAGUGAUAUUCAGGCUACCAUAUGCUUACUAUUUCCAGUACUACGCAUGCGCUGUCAAGUGUUACAUUCUCAAAUUGAAGUAUAGCGAACUGGAAGAUUGAAGGAAAUUGUGAUGAUGCUCAUUCUCUGACAAGUAAUGGCACAUGUUUCACUUACGAGCAGUAGUUUGGCAAGCAUUACUUGACAGAUGCAUACGACUUGUUUGAAGCACAAGGCACAGUAUCAAUCAAACAAGGAUGUUUAUAUUAUAAGUUGAGUGUGAUAAUUGAUUUAAAUUCUUGAACAACAUUGUUGGGUUGUGAUUCUACAUGGAGCUGGGUACAACCCAACAUGUCUUCUUUGAAUCCUCCAAUAUUUCAAUUUAAAAUUGAGCAUAAAUAUUAGUGAUCAAGUGUGAAAUGGAUAUACUGUACUGAAUCACCCUUUAUCAUGUAAGACUGUAAUUAGGAUAUUUU